Molecule: small RNA, 155 nt
Filed under: Moschus moschiferus (Siberian musk deer)
Lineage: Eukaryota; Metazoa; Chordata; Mammalia; Artiodactyla; Moschidae
Description: Metazoan signal recognition particle RNA (ENSMMSG00000003847.1)
Rfam family: Metazoan signal recognition particle RNA
About the family: The signal recognition particle (SRP) is a universally conserved ribonucleoprotein.
Source: Rfam by way of RNAcentral
GCCAAUGGGGUGUCCGCACUGAUUUCAGCAUCAAUAUGGUGACCUGCUGGGAACUGGGGGCCACCAGGUUGCCUAAGGAAGGGUGAACCCGCCCACAUUGGAAACUAAGCAGGUCAAAACUCCCGGGCUGAACAGUAGUGGGAUCGUGCCUGUGA